GCGAGCGGCGGACGGGUGAGUAAUGCUGGGAAAUUGCCAGUCGAGGGGAUACAGUUGGAAACGACUGCUACUACCGCAUACGCCUACGGGAAGCAGGGACUUCGGGCCUGCGCGAUUGGAUAUGCCCAGGUGGGAUUACUAUUUGUGAGGUAAUGCUCACCAAGGCGACAAUCCUACUGGUCUGAAGGAUGAUCACCACACUGGAACUGAGACACGGUCCCAGACUCCUACGGGAGGCAGCAGUGGGGGAAUAUUGCACAAUGGGGGGAAACCCUGAUACAGCCAUGCCGGUGUGUGAAGAAGGCCUUCGGGUUGUAAAGCACUUUCAGCGAGGAGGAAAGGUCAGUAGCUAAUAUCUGCUGGCUGUGACGUUCUCGCAAAAAAAGCACCGGCUAACUCCGUGCAGCAGCCCGCGGUAAUACGGAGGGUGCAAGCGUUAAUCGGAAUUACUGGGCGUAAAAGCGCACGCAGGCGGGUCUGUCAAGUCGGAUGUGAAAUCCCCGGGCUCAAACCUGGGAACUGCAUUCGAAACUGGCAGGCUAAAGUCUUUGUAAGGGGGGGUAGAAAUCCCAGGGUGUAGCGGUGAAAUGCGUAAAGAUC
Molecule: ribosomal RNA, 600 nt
Filed under: uncultured bacterium
Lineage: Bacteria
Description: bacterial SSU rRNA
Rfam family: Bacterial small subunit ribosomal RNA
Source: RNAcentral